RNAcentral lists this ribosomal RNA (1101 nucleotides) under Triticum aestivum (bread wheat). Its description in RNAcentral is "partial small subunit ribosomal RNA". The record is from RNAcentral. Lineage: Eukaryota; Viridiplantae; Streptophyta; Magnoliopsida; Poales; Poaceae.
AUGUGGACUUUGAUCAAACUUUUGAAUGAGUGGGAAAUUCAGCUACUCGUCCUUCUCAGCUUCACACUACAAUUGUUCCUCUUGUUUGCUGGGAACCUUCGGCGACGCAGGUCCAAUGGGUUCCUAAGGGUCCUCAUUUGGUUAGCUUUCUUGGGGGCAGACUUGGUAGCAGUUUAUGCCCUUGGCCUUCUCUCACGACAAGAGAACAACAUCACCACCAUCAUUGACAAAGGAAGCCAACCACUAGCUUUCUUUUGGGCACCAUUUCUCCUCAUCCAUCUUGGUGGACAGGACACCAUUGCUGCUUUCUCCAUGGAGGACAACAACUUGUGGCUGAGGCAUUUGCUGAAUCUGGUGGUGCAAGUUGUCCUAGCAUUCUAUGUUUUCUGGAGAUCCAUCAGAAGCUUACACAGCUUGGGGUUUCUCACUUCAGGUGUCCUUGUGUUUGUUGCUGGAAUUAUCAAGUAUGGAGAAAGAACAUGGUGUCUUAAGCGUGGGAGUCUUAAAGGCCUUGAGAGCUCAACACGGGUCCUAACAUCAUGGAGUUUUCUGCAUCUGGAUACUGCUAUUCAGGGCUAUUCUAGGGCUGUUUAUGAUGCUCUCAGGUCAGUGUCAUAUGCUCUCCACAUCUUUUCAGCACGUGGUUACUGUACGACAAACUUCUACCCGCAUAGAGACAUCAACCAAACGGUGAAGAUAGGGCGGCUUCAGCUUGGCCUAGUGUACGACGAGCUCUACACAAAGGCUGUUGUACUCAGAACAAAGAGCGCCAUGAUAUUCAGAUGCAUCUCUCAGUUAUCCAUUGUUGUUGCUUUUGGGCUCUUCCACGCAAUUGUAGACAAAUAGAGGUAUGCCAAAGUUGACAUUGCAAUCACCUAUUCACUAUUUAUUGGAGGCUUUUUCAUAGAAGUCUGGUCAAUAAUACUUAAUUUCACGACAUCACCACGGACGUGGAUGAUGUUGAAGCGCCGGAAGUGGGAGAGGCUUGCAAAGUUGUCCUGGUUUAUUUUUUCCAAUGAUGUCAUUGGCUUGUCGGAGAAGAAGCAACGGUGGCCAAGUUCAAUCGGACAGUACGACCUUGUAGGUUGGAUGAAUGGUACC